This is a long non-coding RNA of Eriocheir sinensis (Chinese mitten crab), 436 nucleotides long. RefSeq lists it as uncharacterized. NCBI's taxonomy places the organism in Eukaryota, Metazoa, Arthropoda, Malacostraca, Decapoda, Varunidae. The transcript is spliced from 3 exons. The record is from RefSeq and is a predicted model, not a curated record.
GUUGUGUUAGUAUUUCCAUGGGUAGUGUUAUGAGCCUGGUGAUAGUUUGACAAGGCUUUGGUGGAGGUUGUUGUGUUAGUAUUUCCAUGGGUAGUGUUAUGAGCCUGGUGAUAGUUUGACAAGGCUUUGGUGGAGGUUGUUGUGUUAGUAUUUCCAUGGGUAGUGUUAUGAGCCUGGUGAUAGUUUGACAAGGCUUUGGUGGAGGUUGUUGUGUUAGUAUUUCCAUGGGUAGUGUUAUGAGCCUGGUGAUAGUUUGACAAGGCUUUGGUGGAGGUUGUUGUGUUAGUAUUUCCAUGGGUAGUGUUAUGAGCCUGGUGAUAGUUUGACAAGGCUUUGGUGGAGGUUGUUGUGUUAGUAUUUCCAUGGGUAGUGUUAUGAGCCUGGUGAUAGUUUGACAAGGCUUUGGUGGAGGUUGUUGUGUUAGUAUUUCCAUGGG